UUUCCCUUUCUACCAGCACAAGAGUCUUCCAUAUUCUCAGCAAAUGUAAUACAGUAAGGAAGAAACAUAAGAAAUUUAAAAAAUGAAUGAGAACUAUGGGGAGAGGGAAGGGAAGUUAGAAAGACAUGGCCUUGAAUAAUGAGGCAAUGCAGAGAAGGUUAAUAUUCUAUGAAAUUACUUACCUUUAUCUGCAAAGGUAAACUGUAGUCUGAAGUUUACUGGUUUUCAGUCUGGGAAUAACUUCUUUAUAUUUCCUCAACUUAGAGGAAACAGUGGUACUUGCAGCAAUGCUAAAAAAGUAGGCUUAGUGAGUGGGUUUAAUUUUAAGUAUCAGGGAGGAAACAAGUCACCAAGCAGGCCUUAGACUGGAAAUAGGAAUUUUUAAUCUUUCAUUUUUCCUGCUGUAGCUCACGGAAAACAGUGCAGACUGGCUACAGAAGAAUCAUGCCAAAGAACAUACGAGGGCUCAUUUUAUGAGAUCAGUUUUGGAGUUGCAAUUCUAAGCUGGUAGAAGGUUUGCAAAGUACUUGAAAAACUUGACCCUUCUCCAGACUCCCCCGCAUGAGUCACCCAACCCUCCUUCAGUCAUUAGACUGCACUUCCUGCUGGGAUCCAGCAAUAAAACAAACGAGAGACACUGGUUCUGGUCAUGGUGAGGGAAAUUCUCCUGGUUUUUUAGUUCCAAACUUGCCUACUAUUACAGUAACUGUGCUAAGAGAACUGCUGUCUCCAUAAACUCCUUGGGUUCAUUCCACAGUGUACACAGGAGACACAACCCCUUUAAACUUCAAGGAGAUCCCAUUGCAGUGUAGAAGAGAAAAAUUCAGAGAUUAUGGAAUAAUCAUCUCCAAAUCGAUCAAUUUCCCCCUGAAGGCAACCAUCUUCCUUGGACAAUAAGAAUUCUGAAUUUCAGAUGCAUAGAUCAAAUAGUGAUUAUAGUACUGCUCUCCCAGUACUGGAAUGAGCUCUGGCAGUUCCAUCCUCCACAGAAUGCCUGAUAAAGUUUUAGGCCACACAUGCAGCUUAAGACCCUGCAUUGAAUUCAACUCACUAACAACCUCUUUAGUAUUUUUUGCUGGAGAAAGAAGAAAUCCUUAACUCUGGCCAUUCUAUCCAGACCCCUCUCUCAAGGAAGGGUGUAUUUUGUAGUCCUGAGCCUAGUUGAAGCUUUUACACUGGAAGACAUGCACAGGCUCACCACCAUCCCCUAUGCGCAGAGAAGCCACACAGCUUGCUGCACUACCUUGAUUCUGCAGAUGACGAGUGCAGAGUAAGAUAAUGCUAAGUCUAGAACUUUUCCUCUUCCUCUGAGGAAUGGAGCAGCUUUAACUUCUGACUUUUUGCCCACUUUACUAAAAGCUUCCUUCAAAAGACAGAAAUAAAACAAUGUGUCUUCCCUAAUAAAGCAAACUGGCACUUAACUUUGUUUUUCCUUGGGAACCACAGUACAACAAGUGAAACACUGAAGAAAAAUGGUUGUGUACAUUCCAGCAAAAGGAAUGCAAGUGUUUCACCACUUCUCCCUUUUCUGCUUUGGCCGCCUCAUCUUUUCUUUUAGAUAUUUGAGAGAGCUGAGGCUGAAACAAGUCAUUCUAGAAAACAAACUCACAUAAUAACAAGAGAUUGGGCAAGUACAUUUUAAGAUGUUACGCUCUUUAGCCAAGGGGGUAAGUAACCAGGAGUUGGCUUCUUGUCCACAACACAAACAGAGGUGGUAUCUGUGAACCCAGUUUAUUUACUGUUGCAAUUGAUUAGGAUCAUGCACAAAACCGAGUGAAAUGGAAAUACACUAAUACUAAAUCCAUAUUGCAAUGGGGAAGGGGUGAGGAGAAGCAGUAAGGUGAUCCCACUUGAAAACACUCUUAAAUCCUCUCUCAGCGCCCUAUAGCAAUAUGCUCACAGUCAUUCCUUUAUUUGCCACUGACCACAAAGCACAGGUGUUCUUGCUGCCCACGAGGAAAGUCAGGGCUCAUGUCAUCUUUCUACAUCCUUUGGUCCACACUGCUGCACCCUGCCCUUCAACUGCUCAAAUACAGGCGGACCCGCAAGCAGAAA
This is a long non-coding RNA of Pezoporus occidentalis (night parrot), 2055 nucleotides long. RefSeq lists it as uncharacterized. The record is from RefSeq and is a predicted model, not a curated record. The transcript has 6 exons. NCBI's taxonomy places the organism in Eukaryota, Metazoa, Chordata, Aves, Psittaciformes, Psittacidae.